Molecule: ribosomal RNA, 301 nt
Filed under: uncultured bacterium
Lineage: Bacteria
Description: partial 16S ribosomal RNA
Rfam family: Bacterial small subunit ribosomal RNA
Source: RNAcentral
CAGUCGCCGCGGUAAUGCGGAGGGGGCUAGCGUUGUUCGGAAUUACUGGGCGUAAAGCGCACGUAGGCGGCUUGGUAAGUUAGAGGUGAAAGCCUGGAGCUCAACUCCAGAAUUGCCUUUAAGACUGCCGAGCUUGCAGGUGAGAGAGGUAAGUGGAAUUCCGAGUGUAGAGGUGAAAUUCGUAGAUAUUCGGAAGAACACCAGUGGCGAAGGCGGCUUACUGGCUCAUACUGGACGCUGAGGUGCGAAAGCGUGGGGAGCAAACAGGAUUAGAUACCCCUGUAGUCCCUGUCUCUUAUAC